Cebus imitator (Panamanian white-faced capuchin) is the source of this 2011-nucleotide long non-coding RNA. RefSeq lists it as uncharacterized. The record is from RefSeq and is a predicted model, not a curated record. NCBI's taxonomy places the organism in Eukaryota, Metazoa, Chordata, Mammalia, Primates, Cebidae. The transcript has 3 exons.
GUGUGCGCAGCUGUGCAGAAUGAAUCACAGACAUCAGAGAUGGAGCACCUGUUACUGUGGGUCAUCGGCUUGGCGUGCGUCCGGUCUAGUUUCCAUUUACAGGACAGUUCUGUGCCCUUCCUCAGGAGGUCCCAUUCUUUCGGUAAAUUCUGAGUGUCAGCUGUUUACCGGGAAUUUGCUAAGGCUAAGAGGCAGAGAGGCAAGCCAUUCCCCUGCCCUCAAGAAACUCCCAGUCUACAGGCGAAGAGACGCCUCCCACCAGUGCAGUAGCUGGACCAGAAUAUUAGGUCUUCCAGUCAGUCACCCAGAUUUGCCUAAAGACCUGACACAAAUGUCACUUCCACUAUGAAGUCCCACUGACUUUUAUAUAUAAGUCACAAGUGAUGAUUCCCCAUCUGGAUUGGUAAAGAACUCACAGCAAGAAAAAUUGCUGAAGUGUGAAAAACUCAGGACAGCAUUCUUUUGCUGACCACGUACCCAGCAGCCCACUGAAGGGCUUGCACCUGUGCGCCUGGGGAAGGUGGGGAGAAUAUUUCUUCUUUUACACCUCCAAGGUCUAUAUCUUUAUUACUUUGAUAGUUCCCGCCUUAGUUUAGUUCACCAUCACCUCCUGUCUGGAUUAUUAAGAAGUAUUCCUUAAUAUGCAUCCAAUAUACCCUCCGCACUGACAUUUGAGCUCUCAUUCUCUAAUGUAAGCCUUCAUUGACUAGCCAGUGUCUUUAGAGUCAAGUCAAAAUUCCUACAUGCAGAAGAGCCCUAACAAACAGGGCCCAAGUGUCCCUUCCAAUCUCACCUUCCAGCACUGUCACAUUGUAUGCACAAGGCACAGUGUAUUUGCUCCUCUUGGAAGAAAAUCCCUCCCACUUCUGUGACUCUUUACCAGCUCCCCCAUCUCUUCCAGCCAGAAAAAAGUGCCCAUUCCCUUUCCUCUACCGGGAAAAUCAUACUCAACUUUCAGUUCCUAGUUCAAAUUUCAGUUGCUGUGUCCAAUAUAUUAGAGGCAGAACAGCAAAAUGGGAAAGAGUAAGGAUUCUGGACACUUGUGCUCUUCCAUUGAUCAUGUUUGUAAGAUUGAGUGACUUGUUUAACUUUCCUAAGUUUCUGUUUCCUUAUAUGUAAAUUGGUGAUUUAAUAGUAACUAUUACAUCAGGUUGUUGGGAGGGUUAAAUGUGAUAAUUUUUCUAAAGCACUUAGGUCUGUGCCUGGCAGUUUACAAGUACUUACUAUGUAAACAUUAGCUAUUAUUCUAGUUUUGCUGACAUUUUCUUCAACCCUAUAUUUUAGCUUAACUGACUUUAAGAAAGUUAAUUAAAUUAAUUAAUUAAUUUUUGAGACAGGGUCUUGAUAUAUUGCCCAGGCUGGGGUGCAGUGACUGUUCAUAGGCACCAUCUCACUACUGAUCAGCACGGGAGUUUUGACAGAAGUUUCCAACCUGGGGCAGUUCACUAGUCCUCAGGCAACCUGAUGGUCCCCUGCUCACAAGGGGUCACCAUAUUGAUGCCGGACUUAGUGCAGACGCCCAGUGGAGCUUCAGGCACUACAGCCUAGAACUCCUGGGCUUAAGCAAUCCUCCCUUCAGUCAAGUAACUGGCACUACCAGCAUGUGCCACCACACUCAGUUAAAAUGGCUUUUAUACCUAGAAUUAUAUUAGCUUGGGUGAAUUGAAUAACCAAGGUAACAGCAUUACCAACUCUAGUUCAUUUAUUCCUUAAUAUUUACCACAGCUGUAUGUCAUGGAGUGUGGCUGAACAAGUUAUAUUGAACUGUCAUGUGGCAGUGACCCUUGUAAGUAUAACUCUAUCAAGAACUAUUAAUCCGGGCUCAAGCUUUUUUAUUUUGGGAAUUCUGAGAGUCUUGCCAGGUAUUUCUAGUGCUCUGCUUUAAUAAUAAGCAACAUGAACAUCACCAAAUACUUUAAAGGCUCUAUCUGUUCCGUGAAAGGGCACAGCAACUCCUAAAUGCCAAAGAUGAUGAAAAGCCAAAGAAGGAAGUGGACUUUUUUUUUUGAGU